This 468-nucleotide ribosomal RNA is filed under the name uncultured bacterium. RNAcentral describes it as "partial 16S ribosomal RNA". It matches the Rfam family "Bacterial small subunit ribosomal RNA", at positions 28 to 507 of the family's 1533-position model. The record is from RNAcentral.
GACGAACGCUGGCGGCGUGCUUAACACAUGCAAGUCGAACGGAAAGGCCCUGCUUUUGUGGGGUGCUCGAGUGGCGAACGGGUGAGUAACACGUGAGUAACCUGCCCUUGACUUUGGGAUAACUUCAGGAAACUGGGGCUAAUACCGGAUAGGAGCUCCUGCUGCAUGGUGGGGGUUGGAAAGUUUCGGCGGUUGGGGAUGGACUCGCGGCUUAUCAGCUUGUUGGUGGGGUAGUGGCUUACCAAGGCUUUGACGGGUAGCCGGCCUGAGAGGGUGACCGGCCACAUUGGGACUGAGAUACGGCCCAGACUCCUACGGGAGGCAGAAGUGGGGAAUAUUGCACAAUGGGCGGAAGCCUGAUGCAGCAACGCCGCGUGCGGGAUGACGGCCUGCGGGUUGUAAACCGCUUUCGCCUGUGACGAAGCGUGAGUGACGGUAAUGGGUAAAGAAGCACCGGCUAACUACGUG